UGGGGAAUAUUGCACAAUGGGCGCAAGCCUGAUGCAGCCAUGCCGCGUGUAUGAAGAAGGCCUUCGGGUUGUAAAGUACUUUCAGUCGGGAGGAAGGUGUCAAGGUUAAUAACCUUGGCAAUUGACGUUACCGACAGAAGAAGCACCGGCUAACUCCGUGCCAGCAGCCGCGGUAAUACGAAGGGUGCAAGCGUUAAUCGGAAUUACUGGGCGUAAAGCGCACGCAGGCGGUUGAUUGAGUCAGAUGUGAAAUCCCCGGGCUUAACCCGGGAAUUGCAUCUGAUACUGGUCAGCUAGAGUCUUGUAGAGGGGGGUAGAAUUCCAUGUGUAGCGGUGAAAUGCGUAGAGAUGUGGAGGAAUACCGGUGGCGAAGGCGGCCCCCUGGACAAAGACUGACGCUCAGGUGCGAAGGCGUGGGGAGCAAACAGG
RNAcentral lists this ribosomal RNA (429 nucleotides) under Chloroflexota bacterium. Its description in RNAcentral is "Chloroflexi bacterium partial 16S ribosomal RNA". It matches the Rfam family "Bacterial small subunit ribosomal RNA", at positions 355 to 776 of the family's 1533-position model. The record is from RNAcentral. Lineage: Bacteria; Bacillati; Chloroflexota.